This 416-nucleotide ribosomal RNA is filed under the name Urocitellus undulatus (long-tailed ground squirrel). RNAcentral describes it as "partial large subunit ribosomal RNA". It matches the Rfam family "Bacterial large subunit ribosomal RNA", at positions 1843 to 2486 of the family's 2925-position model. The record is from RNAcentral. Lineage: Eukaryota; Metazoa; Chordata; Mammalia; Rodentia; Sciuridae.
GUAUUAGAGGCACUGCCUGCCCAGUGACAUACGUUCAACGGCCGCGGUAUCCUGACCGUGCAAAGGUAGCAUAAUCACUUGUUCUUUAAAUAAGGACUAGCAUGAAUGGCUUAACGAAGGUUUGACUGUCUCUUACUUUUAAUCAGUGAAAUUGACCUUCCCGUGAAGAGGCGGGAAUUUUAAAAUAAGACGAGAAGACCCUAUGGAGCUUUAAUUUAACAGUCUCACAGCCUUAAUCAUAUCUUAGGAAUUAAAAUUAUUGUUCACAGACUAGAAAUUUUGGUUGGGGUGACCUCGGAGUACAAACUAACCUCCGAAUGAUAAUAAUCUAGACACUACAUGUCCAAAUUUCAACUCAUAAAUUGACCCAAAAUAUUGAUCAACGGAACAAGUUACCUUAGGGAUAACAGCGUAAA